RNAcentral lists this ribosomal RNA (253 nucleotides) under uncultured bacterium. RNAcentral describes it as "partial 16S ribosomal RNA". It matches the Rfam family "Bacterial small subunit ribosomal RNA", at positions 524 to 776 of the family's 1533-position model. The record is from RNAcentral.
UACAGAGGGGGCAAGCGUUGUUCGGAAUUACUGGGCGUAAAGGGCGCGUAGGCGGCCCGCUAAGUCGAACGUGAAAUCCCCGGGCUCAACCCGGGAACUGCGUCCGAUACUGGUGGGCUUGAAUCCGGGAGAGGGAUGCGGAAUUCCAGGUGUAGCGGUGAAAUGCGUAGAUAUCAGGAGGAACACCGGUGGCGAAGGCGGGUCUCUGGGCCGAAACUGACGCUGAGGAGCGAAAGCGUGGGGAGCAAACAGG